CAAUCCAUAUGUUUCGUUGUCUACUCCAUUUGAUCUCACCAAAUCUUUGGGCGAAUGUUUACCUGUAAAACGGUAAAGUUGAAUUUGUUCGUAAUUUUUAGACAAGUGAAUUAAUUUGAUCCAAAAAAUAAUGAAAUAACUGAUGAAAUAUAAAAUAUUUAGCCUUAAAAUGUAGAUGAAACGACAGAGCGGAUGAGUCCGAGAACAGGGUUUCCGGGCACAAUAAUAAUGAGAUCAAAAACAAGAAAGUAAAUAAUAUUAAGCUCUGUAUAGAGUGUAGUAUAACUUUGCUAGAAAAUUCGUGUCCUUUACAAUGAAAACUACGCUCUCUAUUUAUAGUUAUGUCUAGGGAAGGAGGUCCUAGGAUCAUGCCCUUCUUUAAUGUCAAUUAUGAGGGCCAGAUGAAGAUGUAACGGUAGACAUAAAUAUCAAAUUUCCUGUAACGGGUCAUCAUCCUUAAUGCUACAAAGCAUUUAAUACUCCUUUUAUGAUCGUUAUUCCUUCCGGUGACAAGCGGAAUAGCUAUGUUUGGCGGCUAUCUUCAUCUUGGGUUCCACGUGUCCUUCCUUUAAGUGGCCACGUAUCAUGUCGUAUUUUUUCCUAUGCAGAUAGUCCCCCUGCUUUCCGGUGACACAAUCUUGUGUUAUCGGAAAGUUGGUAGAAAUACUUCUUUUGGCGGGAAUUACUAUAACUCCCUCUGCAGUCUUCUGACGGUUAAUUUGACGCACGUCUCUCCGCACUUAAUGCUCUGAACACGUGUCAACCCAUAAUUUAGCAUAGCUUUUGCCGUUUAUCGAGGUAAUCAAGGCCAUGAAUUUAGCCGCCAAAACUUUACUUAUACGCAUCAUCCUCCUCUUAUGUACUUCAUAAUUUCUCAAUUUUCUAACUUGCAUCUUUAUUUCCCAACUUUUCUCUAAUCCUCUUCGAACCAGAAAUUUUCCUUCCUUCUAUUCCAAUGGCUUCCUCUUCAAAAUGUGCUAGUUCUUCAAAGGGCAAGAACAAAGCUGAGGACUCUGCGACGGUGGGUUCCAUCAUCCCAAGGAAGUUUAACACUACAAAGGAUUUUGAAAAAAAAUUUCCUACUACUAAUUCUCGUACAUGUGCUGUUAGUAGGUAUCUUUCUUCCAUCCGUCCUUCCAAUAUUCCAACUAUGAACGAAGAUUGCCGCUGUCAUGAAUUGGACAUCAUUGCUCCUAGCCUAUAGGAGCGAGUGACCCUUCUCACGGAAGGAUUUACAUAUUUUUAUACUUAUACCUUUACUUUGGGUGCGUUUUCUUUGAGCGGAUAGCUUGAUCCCGUGAUUGCGUAAUUUUGCCUUCGCUACCAAGUGUGUUUGGCACAGGUAAGCCCUUCAGUAUGGAGGAUGGUUUCCUGCCUUCGACGCCUGUGCCAGAAAACUGAGAAAAAGCUAUCAUUAGCUUGUAUAAUGAACCUUUAUUCCCCCAAGAUUUUUCGAGGAUGUAUGAUAAACCUCUACAAACAUGACUACCAUGCUCUGUUGACUAGCAUGGAUGAUGACAACGACCAUGGGUAGAUAGAAUGGUUCAUUGCAACUGCCACCAAUAAUAUUAUUCCGUCAGCGGCAUCAUCCUCUCCAAGUGCUUGGAAUCGUACUCGUAAGAUUUCCUUUAAAUAUAUUUUCUCUUAAUAAAAAUUCUUUCAUGCAUGUAUUGAUCCUUCAACCUUCUAUGUUACAGCAACUCAAUAGAUCCCACCGGUGGGUUCAAAAGAUCUUGGACGUUACGACGUCCGAGACUCGCUUAUGGAAAAAACUGGCCCUUAAGUACGAGUUGAGGGCUAAAAGUCAUGGUAACUUUAAUUUACCUUAUUUUUGUUUUAUAUGUGAAGAAGUUGGUUGAACCCUCCUAACUUUGUUCAUGACAUUAGGUCUACUUGUGGGCUCAGUUGAUGUCCCGGGGGAGGAUUCUUUGGCUGACCCUGCUGAUGCGGCGGGGCUGCUUUAGGAGAAACUUACUCGAACAUGCAUCUCCCAGACUGCUUCGGGCACAAACGUUUCUUCACGGAGUCACCGGCCAGAGAACAAGCAACCAAAGAGAAGACGUUCCUCUAUGGCCGAGGAAAAGAAUAAGAGGGCAAAGACUGGUACCCACAAAUUAUCUCCGGUGGCGAAUGUGACUGGUUCCCCUUCCGGGCUGGUCAUAGACACUGUGAUGAUUGAUGACAAUGAAGAAGCUAGUGAUGAGAGAGCUUCUCUACACAGAAGGCGACGAUCCUCAUCGUCUCAACAAGAUGCUCGACCUGUUGAGGCAGUUUCACCAAUCGAGGACGAUUUCUCGGCAUUGUGGGGAGAGUUUGACUUGGUAGAUAAUGCCAAUUACUGUUUUCGAGCCCCAGUUGUUGUGUCCGGUACUACAGGGCUGAGUAUCGGAUCCCUGCCAUCUUUGGUUGGAGAGUAUCCUCCCACCAGCACUGCAUUUGAUGCUGCUGCUUCUCAUCCUUCGGCUCCAUCGGCUUCAUCUCCGUCUUCACCAUCACCAGCAAGUGCUACAUCAUUUCCAUCUUCAUCCAUUCCUCCACUAGCAAUUGCUACAUCAUCUCCACCGGCCUCAUCCAACCACGGAGAGGGUACUCCUCUUCCCCAAUCCCAGUUCAUGGGAAUUUGGGGCAAAAUUAUGCUGCCCCUUCUGAGGAUCCACAGAGGAGGAUGAGUGUUACCCUUUCGGUCUCCACCGGGUACAACCUGCUCUCGAGGUCGGUGGAGCUUGCUAACUAUCCGAAGCCAUUGGCUUCAGAGAAAGACUAGGAAAAUAUCCAAGCACUUUUGGGAGAGUGUUUGUUGAACAAUGCCAUGCAUAAUACCGCAGUGGUGCGCCCCUUUCAACCUUUGCUAUUUCUUUGACUUUUGCAUGAAUUUGUACUAAAUUUUAUUUAUCUUAUUUUUUAGGCCAACUUUCUUGCUUCCGAGGGCCUACAGAGGUUGAUUCGUGAGAAAGAGGAACUUACUUCUAAACAGAAUCAGCCUUUGGAGAAACGUGACCAAACUAUUCUCCGCCUCUUGGAACUGGAAACCAAAGCUACUGAGGCAGUUAUUUUGGAGGCUCGCUUGCAGCAAAGAGAGCAAGAAGUGAUAACCCUUAGCUAAGAGAUUGGCCCGCUGACGGUUAGAUUUGAUGAAGACAAGUCCAAAUGGGCUGAAGUCCAGAACGCCAUUCUUGCUGCAACCGAGCGCGAGGCUGCCAUUGCCGAAAAAGUGUCUGAAUUAGAAGUAGCCUUGAACUCCAAAAUAUAAGAUCUUGAUACUAUGGAGGCAAAGCAUGCCAGUUGGAAGAGAGGUACAGAAAAACUAUCGAGCAUAAUAGGCUCUUUAGUUCAACUGUCCUCGACCUUGAUGUUAGCCUCCAAUCUGUUAGGUCCGCCCGGGAUAGGCUCUCUGAUGAAGAAACCCAACUCAAAGAGAAAGUCAAGCGUCGAGAGGCUUCCCUCAUUUUUUGAAAAAACUUAUGCCAUGUAUAGCAUGACAAAACCUUGGAAGAGGCCAAAUCAGGCAUCAUUGACUUUGAUGCCGAAAUUGCUAGGGCCCGAGAGCUUGAGUUGGCUACUAAAAAUGGACUCCCAAUGCAGUCUGAUGCUUCUGGUUCCGGUUCCGAGUUUUCAGGGACUGGAGAGGAGUCGGAAGAUGAUGAUGCUGAAGACCAAACCAGGAAAAUUGUUGAGCCAUCGGUGAGCCCACCUGCUUCUCCCGGGGAUGCGGACGCUUCUCUUCCUACUGGUUCCGGAGAUGCUGCAAUUUAGCUUUUUUUUUCUUUUUUCUUAUCUUGUACUUUUUGCACGCAUUUGUAAAUAAAAAUUUUCUUCUGCUUAAUUAUUUUUUGAGUCUUACUUUCAUCUUAUUUUCGUUAUGCUUCUGUUUGAACAUCCAUGCAAAUAUUCAACUUUUGUGUUUGCGUAAGAAUUUUGUGCUCGUUUUCAUUUUGCGCUUUGCUAUGUGUAGUCUCGGAUGCAAAGCAUUAUCCCUUUUACAUGAGGGUUUUUAUAAGUAUUUUCACAAAUUUACCUUUUGCGUCCUUUCUUAUACGUCCUUCGGGUGCAUUUUCCCCAAAAGCGCUUUGAUUUCAUGCACAGACUCUUUCUAAACCAACCCUUUAACAUGAGAGAUUUCAUAAGAUAGGGCUCUCUUAUGUUUACGGUGCUCUUGAAGAGGACGUCUCAUGUUUAUUAUGGUACUAACAUUUGAAGUACUUGUUUAACUUUUAAAUAGCAAAAUUAAUUCAUCGUUCAGACAAGAAACAAGAUAAAAACAAAAGGAUUUUAUGUCUUUUAAUUCCUUCUAUUUUCAAAAGUACAUAAGCAUUUGAUAUGCUGAAAAAAAAUUGCCAUUACUUGUGGCUAUCUUGUACAACUUAUUUCUACGGGGUUGAUUGUGCAGUCUCCGAUCCCGAUGAUGUAUUCUGGUUUUGGAUAUUCGUUCCCCGGUUGACGUGGCAUUCAGUGUUGCCGUAUCCUCAUAUCAUUCCUCCCCCUAGUGUUCGAAUGCAAAGAAUGUGAAUUGGAACACUGGAAGUCUUGCGUCUUCAAAGAUCCCACCAAUGAAUUGCUAGACAAACCUUAACUCGGCAACAAACCUUACUUCCCCUUAGGAAUUCAUGCUAUCGAGUGAAGGAUUAUCUAACAAUCCUCUAGUGGUUUGUUCUCAUGAACGGUCGGGUAACCUUUGUCCUAUAGCAAACUUAACUUCCCAGUGGGAAUUUGCUAUAGAGCCAAAGAUUACCUAACCGUCCCCAAGUGAAGCCUUGCCAUCGAAGAUCUUAUUAUUGUUGUCUUCGCAAUAUGCUUUCUAUCGCUGCCUCAUUAAAAACCUUGCCAAAAAACCCAAUUAGGACAAAAAUUUAACGAAGGAAAAAAGAGUGCAGCAUAUACUUUUCGCUUGGGUAACGUUCAUCAACAGUAAUAUCUUUUGAGGUGUGGCACGUUCCAGUUGCUAGGUAACUUAUCUCCGUUCUGGUUCUCCAACUCGUACGAGCCUUUUCGAGUGAUAGCUGAAAUCCGAUAGGGACCUUCCCACGUUGGGACCAACUUCCCGCAUUAAACUCCCGGGUAUUUUGAGUUAGUUUCCUCAGAACUAAAUCUCCCCCUUUGAAAUAAUGGAAAUUAGCUCUUUGAUUAUAGUAUCACUCCAUUCUCUGCUUUUGAGCCUCCAUUCUUACAUGCGCCAAGUCCCUGCGUUCCUCGAGCAGUUCCAAGUUGAUUAACAUUACUUCGUUGUUAGAUUCUUCUUCCGCCUGGAAAUACCUUAAGGUUGGUUCCUCUACUUCCACCGGUAUCAAAGCUUCUACGCCGUACAGAAGGGAAAAAGGGGUUUCUCCUGUUCUUGACUUGGCCGUUGUUCGGUAGGCCCAUAGAAUCCUAGGUAAUUCUUCGGGCCAAUUGCCUUUUGCUGCUUCCAACCUUUUCUUGAGAUUUUGAAUAAUCACUUUGUUUGUUGACCAUGUUUGACCAUUUGCGCUCAGAUGAUAGGGUGAAGAGGUGAUCCUCUUUAUCUUCAAAUCUUCAAGGAACUUUGUAGCUUUUGCACGAAAUGCGGCCCAUUGUCGCAUACAAUCUCUUUUGGUAUUCCAAACCUGCAAAUUAUAUUUUCCCACAAGAAGUUGAUCACCUCGCGUUCUCCGAUCUUCUAAUAAGGACCUGUUUCCACCCAUUUAGAAAAAUAGUCAGUCAAAAUAAAAAGAAACCUUACCUUUCCAGGAGCCGGUGGUAGCGGUCCGACGAUGUCCAUCCCCUAUUUCAUGAACAUCCACAGGGACAAAAUUGAAUGUAGUGGUUCUGUCAGUUGAUGUACUAGUGGUGCAUAGCGUUGGCACUUAUCACAUUUUUGUACGAAAUUUUUGGCAUCUUGUUCCAUACGGGGCUAGUAAUAUCCUGCCCGAACUAAUUUCAGCACCAAAGAAUCUGUACCCGAGUGAUUGCCGCAUAUCCCUUCAUGGACUUCUCUCAUGACAUAGCUAGCUUCUGAUGCUCCUAAACACCGGGCCAAUGGGCCUUGAAAGGAUUUUCUGUACAAUGGGCCUUUCUUGAACCUAUAACGUGCAGCUUUGGCACGUAACGCUCUUGAUGCUUUGGGGUCUUCGAGCAACUUUCCAUGCUCGAGAUAGUCGAUUAUUUUGUUUCUCCAGUCCCAGACCAAACUAUUCGAAUUCACCUCAUAGUAACUAUUUGUGUCCAAGAUUGAGUUCAUCAGUUGUACUAUUGUCCAUGAUUCUGAUCCCUGUAUUUAUGUCGAUGAGCCCAAAAUUGCCAAUGCAUCUGCUUUCGCGUUUUCUUCCCUCGGGAUAUGAGUAAUUGACCACUCCCAGAAUCGUUCCAAUAAAGUCUAAACUUUUACCGCGUAUUGUUUCAUACGUUCCUCUUUGGUGUCAAAAAUUCUGUAGACCUGAUUUACCACCAACUGCGAAUCAUAUUUGAUUUCGAUGACUUCGGAAUCAAGCUCCCGGGCCAAUUCGAGCCUUGCAAUCAAAGCUUUGUACUCUGCUUAAUUGUUAGUUAAAGGAAUCAUUCUGAUGGCUUGCCUUAAGGUUUCUCCCAAAGGCGUGAUCAAGACUAUUCCGAGCCCAGACCCUUUUAUGUUUGAGUCUUCAUCCGUAAAUAAGGUCCAAACUCUCGAUGUUGUAUCUGACACCAUUAUUGCCUCCUUGGCUGCUAGAGGCAAUAGUCCCGGAAUGAAAUUGUCCACGAAGUCAGCUAAGACUUGUGACUUAAUUGCAGUACUCGGUUUAUACUCUAGAUCGAACUCGCUCAUUUCGACGGCCCAUUUGGCCAAUCUACCCAAGAGCUCGGGUUUAUAGAGGAUAUUUCUUAAAGGGAAAGUAGUCACCACACCUAUCGGGUAGCAUUAGAAGUAGGACCUCAACUUUCGAACGGCGACUACGAGAGCUAAGGCCAACUUUUCCAGAUGUGAGUACAGAGUUUCUGCUCCCGUUAAAAUUUUGCUUACGUAAUAAAUGGGAGAUUGCAUUCUUUCAUACUCUCGGACUAAAAUUGUACUUAUCGCAACUUCUGAGACCGCGAGGUAGACUAGCAAUGUUUUACCUUCUUUUGGUUUUGAGAGCAACGGGGGGCUUCACUAAUAUUUCUUCAACUCCUUCAAGGCUUGUUGACACUCCUAUGUCCAUUCGAAAUUGUUUUUCUUUUUGAGUAGUGCGAAGAAGCGAUGACAUUUUUUCGAUGAUCGGGAAAUGAACCUGCUCAAACCUACCAAUCUCCCUGUGAGCCUCUGGACUUCUUUUACGUUAGACAAUUUAUCCGGGAUGUCCUCUAUGUCCUUGAUUUUGUCGGGAUUUACCUCAAUUCCCCCUUGUGAGACUAGGAAUCCUAGGAACUUACCCGAACUAACCCCGAACGCACAUUUCUCGGGGUUAAGUUUCAUAUUAUGCUCCCUCAGGAUGUCGAAUGUUUCUUGCAAAUACUUCAGGUGGUCACCUGCAUUCAAAGACAUAAGGAGCAUAUCAUCUAUAUAUACUCCAUAGUCUUUCCUAUUUGUUUUUCAAACAUCUUACUCACGAGUCGUUGAUAAGUGGCUCCAACAUUUUUUUAACCCGAAAGGCAUCACAUUGUAACAAUACGUACUAAAAUUCGUUAUAAACGAAGUCUUUUCCUGGUCUUCUAGGUUCAUCUUGAUAUGAUUGUACCCAGAAAAUGCAUCGAGGAAACUCAUUAACUCGUGCCCGCCGUGGCAUCAAUCAUUUAAUCGAUAUUUGGCAAUGGGAACAAGUCUUUUGGGCACGCCAUAUUAAGAUCCUUAUAAUCUAUGCACAUGCGAAAUUUAUUAUUUUUCUUAGGAAAUGCUACUACAUUGGACAAGAGUGGGUUGCUCUAGUGGUGAGCACCCUUCACUUCCAACCAAGAAGUUGUGAGUUCGAGUCACUCCAAGAGCAAGGUGGGGGGGUUCUUGGAGGGAGGGAGCCGAGGGUCUAUCGAAAACAGCCUCUCUACCCUAGGGUAGGGGUAAGGUCUGCAUACACACUAUCCUCCACAGACCCUGCUAGUGGGAUUAUACUGGGUUAUUGUUAUUGUUGUUGUUGUUGGCUAGCCAGACUGGAUAUCUUACCUCUCGGAUUGAAACAAUAUUAAGUAAACGGGUUACCUCUUCUUUGACGAAUUUAUUCCUUGCUUCAGCAAUAGGGCGCUUCUUUUGUCUUACCGGAGGUAUGUUGGGAUCUAAGAUUAACUUGUGUACGACUAUCUCCGUUGGGACUCCUGUCAUAUCCUCGUGUGACCAUGCAAAACAAUCGGUGUUUAUUUUAAGGAAUUCAAUAAAAGCAGACCUGAGCUCCGGGUGUAGUCCUGUUCACAAAUGGAAUUUCCUUUCUAGGAAUUCUUCGAACAAUGCAACUUUCCCUAGUUCUUCUGUCGUGGAAUUCGUCGCGUCCGUCUCUUCUGGUACUUGAAAAUACCUUGGUACUUGAUAUGGUUCCAACUCUUCUGUCCCCUGGCUAACUUCCUCUGGUUUGGGGGAAGGUACUGGUUCCAGUAAUUGCUAUGUCGCAAGUUCCUUUCCUUUUCUACUGGAGAUCGAAAUUGCAUUCAUCUCCCUUGUUGUAGGUUUAUCGCCCCUUAUCUGUUUGAUCCCCUCGGGUGUCGGAAGCUUUAACAAUUGAUGAUAUGCUGAAGGCACAACUUUCAUCUCAUGCAACCAUGGUCUUCCCAAGAUGAUAUUAUACCUCAUGUCUCCAACUACCACUUCGAAGAGAGUUGUCUUCAUUACUCCCUCAGUAUUCGUGAGCAAUAAAAUUUCUCCUCGGGUUGUCACGCUUACAAAGUUAAAUCCAGCGAGGAGUUUUGUUGCCGAGAUAAUGCUUUCGGUGAGUUUAGCUUGCUUCAGUGCUCUCCAUUGUAUGAUAUUAGCUGAACUUCCUGGAUCUACUAAGACACGUUUAAUUUUAAAAUCUAACACAUUUAAAGAAAUUACCAGUGUGCGGUAACAGCAAUCGGUAUGCAUCUUUGUCCGUAAAUGUGAUAUCAUCUUCCCGGAGCCUUUUACUAUGAGUUAUUGAUACUUUUGUCUUCUUUGUUUCCGAAAAGGUGACCCCAUUAAUCUCAUUCCCUCCGAAGAUCAUGUUGAUCAUUUGGCAUGGGGGUUCUUCUCUUGCUUUCGAGGGUUCCGCGUCACCUCUAUUCAGGCCAUAAUUAUUUUUAGCUCGGUCACUCAAGAAUUCUCUGAGAUGAAAUUCUUUAACAGUGUUGCCACUUCUUCCCGGAGGUGUCUGCAGUCCCUAGUCCGAUGGCCGUUAGUACCAUGGUAUUCACACCAUAAGUUAGGAUCCCUCUAGGUGGGAUCAGAUCUCAUAAGUCUCGGGAAUUGUGCCUCUUUGAUAUUUCUCAUGGCUGACACCAGCUCCACUACACUGACGUUGAAGUUAUACUCUGAUAACUUUGGGUAAGAAGACUCUCGCGACCCCGAGAUUUCUUUUUCUUGCAGCUAUCUAUUGUUCCGGCCACUAUCGGUCCUUCUAUUAACAGUGAACUUGUCUACUGUCUGGAAGCUCCUGCCACGACCUUCGGUCCGCUCGUAGGGCAAAAAUAGGCCCUUCGAAGUCCGUCUAUCCGUGUCGUUAUCAUCUUUUAUUUUUUCUAUGUUCUUUUCUCGUCCUAUGGUCGACGAUGAAAAGCCAACCUGAUCUUCUUCGAUUCUUAUUUUUGACUCGUACCGGUUGUGGACAUCCGCCCAAGUCAUCGCUUGAAACUCGAACAGACUUUUCUUCAACUUCCGGGAAGAGUCCGAACUUCUCGGAUUUAAACCUUUGGUGAACGCUUCAGCUGCUCAUUCAUCCGGAACUGCGGGUAGUAACAUCCUUUCCUUAUGGAACCGAGUAACGAAGUCUCAUAAUAAUUCGGAUUCUCCCUGCGUGAUCCUGAAUAUGUUGGCCUUUCAGGCUUGUACCUUUCUGGCACCAGCAUGGGCCUUGAUGAAAGAAUCCGCGACUAUCUCAAUGGAAUAUAUAGAAUGCUCGGGUAAUAAUGAAUACCACGUUAAAGCUCCCCCUGUGAGAGUCUCACCAAAUUUCUUUAGCAACACGAAUUCAAUUUCGUGAGGAGCCAAAUCAUUUCCUUUUACUGCCAUCGUGUAAGUGGUAAUAUGCUCAUGAGGAUUCUAAGUUCUGUUAUAUUUUGGAACUUCAUGCAUUUUGAACCGUUUUAGGAUCAAUUCUGGUGCCGCACUCAGCUAGUAUACUUAUUUGAAUCCGGGCCCUUCAUUACUAGUGGCGCGCCCGGGAUUUGGUCCAUGCGGGCUUUUACUUCUUUCAUGAACCGUAAAAGUUCAUUAUUGAACGGGUCGUUCUCGCUGUUGAGACCGGAUCCGCUUCCCCCAGCCCCGUCAGAAUCGACUUCACCCUUGGGAGUAUUGUUGUUGACUCUCUGCAUUGUUUCGUUUUCGGAGAGGAAUUGGAUCUCGCUUGUUUGCAUUAUUCGAAGCCCCCGACAGCGCCUGUUUUAGCUCCGUCAUAACCUUAUCCUGCCGAGUGAGAUGGCCUAGAAUAAUCGCCUAUUGCUCUUGCAAGACGCUUACCGCAUCGAAGACAUGCUCUUCAUUAACAUCAUCGGGAGUUGUUUCCCGAACAUGUCGAGGAUAUUGCAUGUCAUGUAUCGGUGUAGCGUCAUUCCCCUCGUUGUGGUCGUCACAGAUUGAAUCCUAGAAAUGAGGUUGAUCCCCUCGAAAUCCAGGAUUGUGAGUGUUGUUAACAGUAUUGUCUGUCAUUUUUUUGUGAUUUUUUCUAAGACAAAACAAUCAAAGCUUGUUAGUAAAAAAAGUAAGGAUCAAUUUAAUUGCACGACUGUCUAGGCUCCACGGUGGACGCCAAACUGUUUACCCGUAAAAUGGUACAGUUGAAUUUGUUCGUGAUUUUUAGACAAGUGAAUUAAUUUGAUCCAAAAAAUAACGAAAUAACUGAUGAAAUAUAAAAUACUUAGCCUUAAAAUGUAGAUGAAACGACAGAGCUGAUGAGUCCGGGAACAGGGUUUCUGAGCACAAUAAUGAUGAGAUUAGAAGCAAGAAAGUAAAUAAUAUUAAGCUCUGUAUAGAGUGUAGUAUAAGUUUGCUAGAAAAUUUAUGUCAUUUAUAAUGAUAACUGAACUCCCUAUUUAUAGCUAUGUCUAGGGAAGGAGGUUCUAGAAUUAUGCCCUUCUUUAAUGUCAAUUAUGAGGGUCAUUAAUGAAGAUGUAACGGUAGAUAUAAAUGCCAAAUUCCCUUUAACGGGCCAUCAUCCUUAAUGCUGUAAAAUAUUCUGUAUUAAAUGUUACCGGGUGUAAAACAUUUAACACUCCAUUUUAUGAUCGUUAUUCCUUCCGGUGAAAAGCGAAAUAGCUAUGUUCGGUGGCUAUCUCCAUCUUGGGUUCCACGUGUCCUUCAUUUAAGUUGCCAUGUGUCAUGUCGUAUUUUUCCCUAUAUAGAUAGUCCCCUUGCUUUCCGAUGACACAAUCUUGUGUUACCGGGAAGUUGGUAGAAAUACUACUUUUGGCGGGAAUUACUAUAACUCCCUCUACAGUUUUUUGACAGUUGAUUAGAUAAGGAUCGGAUAAGUUACAAAACCGGAUGGCCUUUUGAUUCUCGGUACGUUGCCCCCAGCUCGAGUUAUCCGUUCGGGUAAGAUAGAUCUAGAACUUUAAACCUUUAAGGUUUAAACUUAGAAGAACAUAGCCUCAUGUAGGAUCCCUAGUAGGUACGCUUGUUUGCAUCACGUACAUUAGACUUUUGGGACUCAACACAUGGGUUGAGUCGUCUAGGACAUGUGUACCCGAAAUUAAAAAGACCAUCCUGAUGCAUCUUACGUGCUACUUUUGUAUUUGUUUGAAUUGGUUUGCAUGUUGACUCGCUUCUAGAAUAGGGAAAUAAAAUCAAGAAAAACCGAGAUAUAGAAGGUAGGAGAGAGAAAAUUGAUCGGUUCUAGAACAUCUCGGUAUUUGAAAAAAAAAGAUCCUAGAACUCUAACUAAUUUUAGAAGGAGUUCACAAAUGAGUCCGAAUUUUCAAAAAAUGACAUUUUCCCUCGGUCCUGAAAAACUCGCCGUACUACGCGUGUCUGAUUUUCACCGGAUGUGAGAUACGUAGGCAAACCUUAUCGGUUCCGGCCCCCAAUUUUCAAAAAUCUAGAAAUAUUUUCCUUUAAUUCCUUCUUUAGAAGUCUUUCCUUAGAAAAUCUCAAAUAAAAAAAAUUAACCCAAAAAUAUUUUCUUUCUUUUACAAGUCUUUCAUUCGAAAAGGAAAUAAUAAAUAAAUAAAUCAAUCAAAUCAAGAUUCAUAAAUAUGUUUUUUUUCCUUCUUUAGAAGUUUUUCUCCCAAAAACAAAUCAAAAAUCAAAACCAAAAAUUCAAAAAUAUUUUCUUUGUUCUUUGGAAGUAUUUCUUUCGAAAAUUUCCAAUCAGAAAAAAAAAAUCAAAAUCCAAAAAUAUUUUUCUUGUUAGGAACUUUUACGAUUAGAUUUUUUAAAGAGUUAAAAAAAAGGACGUUAAUUUAUUUACUUUAGACAUGAGACAGAAUUCUAAUUUUCAAUUCAAAACAACGACAGAACCUACGAACAUGAUAUGUGAUACAUAAUAAAAACAAAUUAAAUUAACAUCUGCUUACUGACUUGCGGUAGGUGAACUUAACAUAAACUAGUUUAUCAUUCCAGUUUGGAGAGUUUAAUAUUUAGACGAAAAGAUUGAAAACUGAUCAUUUUUUUCAAUGUCUAUCUCUUAGCUCUAUAUCUUGGAUUACUAAGCUACUGCUAUGAGAUGAAUAGGUGAGUUCAAAUUUAUAGUGAAUCGUAGGAUAGAUUUUGCUUUUCCUAUUUGCUGUAUUGUUGGAUGAAACAGCUUCAUAGAUUUGCUUUUAUAAAUUCAUGAAAAUCCCAGCGGUGUUGGUAUAUUACACAUUAAUUAAAGUGGCCUUCCGAUACAAGAAACUUUUGCAUACUCUCACGGCCUUAAAAAUUAAGUAUUUUUUGCUUUUCUGGAGUCAACAAUUAUUAAAUUUUAGCCAUGAAUCUUCUUAAUAAACUUUUUGAAAUGAAUGAAUUUCAGUUUGGAGUAUUUCUCUUGUAGUGUCUAGUUCAGUGUACUCAUUUUUUCCCCAAUUUGUUUGACACUUUUUUUUUGUAUAUCACGAAAAUUGACAAAUUUUUGUACUUAGAGAUUAUUUAAUCUUCCACAUUCAUUUUGUCCUAAUACGAAUCGACAUGAUUUUUCAUGAUCGAAAUGAAUAAAAAUACAACUACAAUUUGGUACUAAGGGUGCUUUUGACAUUUUAUGCAUAUUUUAAUUUUUUAAAGAUAACGUGUCCAUUCGAAUUUCCAAACAAAUGGAUGUGAGACAAAGAGAUUAAUAAACCAUUGUCAAAUCGAUUUAAUUUGUAUACAAUAACAUUUUAGAAAAAUUUGCACUAUCAAUAUAUCUUUACUUGUCACAUUAAAUAACCUAUCUUAAUUUUCAAAUUAUUAAUUUCAAUUUUAUGUGUCACACCUCCUUUUUCCCGAAGGGGAUAGAGAGUUUUUCCAAUUGAAUUGACAUUAAUCGAAAUGAAAUUAUUUAUUCAGAGUCGUCACUUGGGAUAAUUUAUGGUGUCCUAAGUCACCGGUUUAUUUCAAAUCCCAAAUCGAGGAAAUUUGACUAUGUUUUAAAGUCUGCAAAAACCAGAAGACCGGGUAAGGAAUUCUGUUAACCCGGAAGAAGGUGUUAGGCAUUCCCGAGUUCCGUGAUUUUAGCACGGUCGCUCAACUAUUAAUAAUUGGCUUAAUAAUCUGAUUUAUUACAUGUUUUAGAACCUAUUAUGCAUUUUUACCUUUUAAAACCGCUUUUAAUUAUUUAUGAAAUUAUUUGAACAAGUCGCGAUGUCGCGCACUCGUUUGUUUUUGUACACAUUGCGAAUCGCGCCACGUAAAACACAUCCAUAAUUUAUAACAUGUUAAUUUUUAUUAUUCGAAGUUAUGGUCGAGCACAUGAAAUGCACACCCAAAUUUGGAUUUAUGUAUCAUGACCAUGCCACAGGAACUGUACUCAUAGUCACGAUGAUUUAUUAUUAAUCACGCCUAAAGCAAGCUACGAUAUUUAUGAAUAUUAACGGCCAAGCAUGCUCCUAACGGUCAAAACAAUUGAAUAAUGCAAUAAAGGUUACAGUUUCAAUAUUUCAUUUCAAUUUAGCCCAACGUCCCUACGCCCGACAUGAAAGCUCAUUUAAAUAUAAGUCCAACAAAGCACUCAAGAAAAACAAAUAGCAUCCAAACAAAUAACACAUCGUGCAGCAAAUUGCUCCUGCGAUAACAUAAGGUUAUUUAAAACACGAUUCUAGCCCACUAAUAUACCAAACCAAUCUAUAGAAAAUUUCAGAGAAUUCAAGCCUAACAUAUCCAAACUCACUUUGUUACUUAAACAAAAUUAAUCCAAAUCUUACUUCCAAUUUUAAGACUUAUACUUAUCAAAUGUAGAACUAGAUUGAACAAACUAAAAUUCCCUUCAUCUUUGUUAUCAAAUGUCACUGCCCAGAGAGAAUGCUAAGCACAAAAGGAACGAGAAUCUGACAACAAAUUAAGCUCAAAUUCAUUUUAGACAUAGACCAACACAGAGGAACAUGAAUCAGAUAACCAAUCAAACUUUAAUUCAUUUGAAAUAAAGAGUGAGACAGAAGAAAUGAACCUUGAUUGAAAAAUAAAAUCGGCAAACAAGAACUGCACCCGAACCUCGAGCGGAACCUCAGACUCUAACCUCGAACAGAUUUUGGAAUUUUUGUUUUAGGCGAUGAGCGAUGAAGCUGUGUGCUGAGACCCGUUUCCUUUUGCUCUCCCCGUUGCUUUGUCCGUUCCCUCAACUCCCUCUGUUUCGUGACCUCCUCUCUUUAUGGGUGGUGUCUUCCGGUGUUAAUGGCUGAUUUACGGUGGCUUUAGGGGGUUGAAUGGGCUAUUUUUGGGGCUGGACUUUGGUGGAGGUUUGUGUUGAUUACGGUGGAGAAGAUAGGUUCUUGAAUUUUUCCGUUCCUUUUCCUUUUGUUCCCCUGUUUUUCUCUGUUUUUGUUCUGUUUGCCGUCGUGAGUGGAGUUGAAGGGUAGUGUUGAAGUUGGUGGUAAUGGGUGUUUAAUAGAGAUUAAAGUAGAGUGGGAAAUUAGGUGGCGUCCAUGGAGUUGAACUGUGGCAUCUCUCUCUUUUUUCUAAUCCCGUUCCCAAACCCUCUGCUUUUCUCUCGUCCUCUAGGCCUCUCUUUUCUCUCUUUGCUCUAUCUGUUUUUUCUCCUUUUUUGUUUUUCCCAGCCCCCUUUGUGUGUGGAAGAUCUAUAGGAACGGGGAUUAAUUGGUUGCCAAGAAAAAAGAGCGUGUAUGUGUAUGUAAUUUCGAAG
This 15314-nucleotide long non-coding RNA is filed under the name Nicotiana tabacum (common tobacco). RNAcentral's name for it is "long non-coding RNA (NTAB_LNC006417)". Lineage: Eukaryota; Viridiplantae; Streptophyta; Magnoliopsida; Solanales; Solanaceae. The record is from RNAcentral.